UACAGAGGCCACAAGCGUUAGGCGGAAUCACUGGGCUUAAAGCGUGUGUAGGCGGAUCGUUAAGUACCUUGUGAAAUCCCACGGCUCAACCGUGGAACGGCUGGGUAUACUCGCGGUCUUGGGCCAUUCAGGGGCGACUGGAACAAGCGGUGGAGCGGUGAAAUGCGUAGAUAUCGCUUGGAACGCCGAAGGUGAAAACAGGUCGCUGGGGAUGUGCCGACGCUGAGACACGAAAGCCAGGGGAGCAAACGGG
RNAcentral lists this ribosomal RNA (253 nucleotides) under uncultured bacterium. RNAcentral describes it as "partial 16S ribosomal RNA". It matches the Rfam family "Bacterial small subunit ribosomal RNA", at positions 524 to 776 of the family's 1533-position model. The record is from RNAcentral.